This 478-nucleotide ribosomal RNA is filed under the name uncultured bacterium. Its description in RNAcentral is "partial 16S ribosomal RNA". It matches the Rfam family "Bacterial small subunit ribosomal RNA", at positions 28 to 523 of the family's 1533-position model. The record is from RNAcentral.
GACGAACGCUGGCGGCGUGCUUAACACAUGCAAGUCGAACGGUAAGGCCCUUCGGGGUACACGAGUGGCGAACGGGUGAGUAACACGUGGGUGAUCUGCCCUGCACUUCGGGAUAAGCCUGGGAAACUGGGUCUAAUACCGGAUAGGACCACUGCCUGCAUGGGGGGUGGUGGAAAGCUUUUGCGGUGUGGGAUGGGCCCGCGGCCUAUCAGAUUGUUGGUGGGGUGAGGGCCUACCAAGGCGACGACGGGUAGCCGGCCUGAGAGGGUGACCGGCCACACUGGGACUGAGAUACGGCCCAGACUCCUACGGGAGGCAGCAGUGGGGAAUAUUGCACAAUGGGCGCAAGCCUGAUGCAGCGACGCCGCGUGAGGGAUGACGGCCUUCGGGUUGUAAACCUCUUUCAGUAGGGACGAAGCGCAAGUGACGGUACCUACAGAAGAAGGACCGGCCAACUACGUGCCAGCAGCCGCGGUAA